RNAcentral lists this ribosomal RNA (577 nucleotides) under Sporosarcina sp. RNAcentral's name for it is "bacterial SSU rRNA". It matches the Rfam family "Bacterial small subunit ribosomal RNA", at positions 99 to 662 of the family's 1533-position model. Lineage: Bacteria; Bacillati; Bacillota; Bacilli; Caryophanales; Caryophanaceae. The record is from RNAcentral.
CGGACGGGUGAGUAACACGUGGGCAACCUGCCCUGCAGAUGGGGAUAACUCCGGGAAACCGGGGCUAAUACCGAAUAAUCGGUUCUUCCGCAUGGAAGAACUCUGAAAGACGGUUUCGGCUGUCACUGCAGGAUGGGCCCGCGGCGCAUUAGCUAGUUGGUGGGAUAACGGCCUACCAAGGCGACGAUGCGUAGCCGACCUGAGAGGGUGAUCGGCCACACUGGGACUGAGACACGGCCCAGACUCCUACGGGAGGCAGCAGUAGGGAAUCUUCCACAAUGGACGAAAGUCUGAUGGAGCAACGCCGCGUGAGCGAAGAAGGUUUUCGGAUCGUAAAGCUCUGUUGCGAGGGAAGAACAAGUACGGGAGUAACUGCCCGUACCUUGACGGUACCUCGUCAGAAAGCCACGGCUAACUACGUGCCAGCAGCCGCGGUAAUACGUAGGUGGCAAGCGUUGUCCGGAAUUAUUGGGCGUAAAGCGCGCGCAGGCGGUCCUUUAAGUCUGAUGUGAAAGCCCACGGCUCAACCGUGGAGGGUCAUUGGAAACUGGAGGACUUGAGUACAGAAGAGGAAAGC